UACGGGGGGGGCAAGCGUUGUUCGGAAUUACUGGGCGUAAAGGGCUCGUAGGCGGCCAACUAAGUCGGACGUGAAAUCCCUCAGCUUAACUGGGGAACUGCGUCCGAUACUGGAUGGCUUGGAUUUGGGAGAGGGAUGCGGAAUUCCAGGUGUAGCGGUGAAAUGCGUAGAUAUCUGGAGGAACACCGGUGGCGAAGGCGGCAUCCUGGACCAAUAUUGACGCUGAGGAGCGAAAGCUAGGGGAGCAAACGGG
Molecule: ribosomal RNA, 253 nt
Filed under: uncultured bacterium
Lineage: Bacteria
Description: partial 16S ribosomal RNA
Rfam family: Bacterial small subunit ribosomal RNA
Source: RNAcentral